UACGGAGGGGGCGAGCGUUAUUCGGAAUCAUUGGGCGUAAAGGGCGCGUAGGCGGCCCCGUAAGUCUUGGGUGAAAGCCCUCGGCUCAACCGAGGAAUUGCCUUGGAUACUGCGGGCUCGAGGCUGGAAGAGGGUAGCGGAAUUCCCGGUGUAGCGGUGAAAUGCGUAGAUAUCUGGAGGAACACCGGUGGCGAAGGCGGCAUCCUGGACCAAUUCUGACGCUGAGUGAGCGAAAGCCAGGGAGCAAACGGG
Molecule: ribosomal RNA, 252 nt
Filed under: uncultured bacterium
Lineage: Bacteria
Description: partial 16S ribosomal RNA
Rfam family: Bacterial small subunit ribosomal RNA
Source: RNAcentral